GAUGAACGCUGGCGGCGUGCCUAACACAUGCAAGUCGAGCGAUUUUCUUCGGAAGAGAGCGGCGGACGGGUGAGUAACGCGUGGGUAACCUGCCCUGUACACACGGAUAACAUACCGAAAGGUAUGCUAAUACGGGAUAACAUAAGAAAUUCGCAUGUUUUUCUUAUCAAAGCUCCGGCGGUACAGGAUGGACCCGCGUCUGAUUAGCUAGUUGGUGAGGUAACGGCUCACCAAGGCGACGAUCAGUAGCCGACCUGAGAGGGUGAUCGGCCACAUUGGAACUGAGACACGGUCCAAACUCCUACGGGAGGCAGCAGUGGGGAAUAUUGCACAAUGGGCGAAAGCCUGAUGCAGCAACGCCGCGUGAGCGAUGAAGGCCUUCGGGUCGUAAAGCUCUGUCCUCAAGGAAGAUAAUGACGGUACUUGAGGAGGAAGCCCCGGCUAACUACGUGCCAGCCGCCGCAGUAA
Molecule: ribosomal RNA, 468 nt
Filed under: uncultured bacterium
Lineage: Bacteria
Description: partial 16S ribosomal RNA
Rfam family: Bacterial small subunit ribosomal RNA
Source: RNAcentral